AGCGAACGCUGGCGGCAUGCCUAACACAUGCAAGUCGCACGGGGGGGCUUCGGCCUCCCAGUGGCGGACGGGUGAGGAACGCGUAGGGACCUGUCGAGGGGUGGGGGAUAACCGCGGGAAACUGCGGCUAAUACCGCAUGACGCCGCGGCGUGACAGCCGGGGCCAAAGGCGAAAGCCGCCCGCCGAGGGGCCUGCGUCCGAUUAGCUGGUUGGCGGGGUAGCGGCCCACCAAGGCGUCGAUCGGUAGCUGGUCUGGGAGGGUGAUCAGCCACACCGGGAGUGGGACACGGCCCGGACUCCUAUGGGAGGCAGCAGUGGGGAAUAUUGGACGAUGGGCGCGAGCCUGAGCCAGCAAUGCCGCGUGGGUGAAGAAGGUCUGCGGAUUGUAAAGCCCUUUCGGCGGGGACGAUGGUGACGGUACCCGCAGAAGAAGCCCCGGCUAACUUCGUG
This 451-nucleotide ribosomal RNA is filed under the name uncultured bacterium. RNAcentral's name for it is "partial 16S ribosomal RNA". It matches the Rfam family "Bacterial small subunit ribosomal RNA", at positions 28 to 507 of the family's 1533-position model. The record is from RNAcentral.